CUUGUGGAAGGAUCAUUG
RNAcentral lists this ribosomal RNA (18 nucleotides) under Selenicereus megalanthus. RNAcentral's name for it is "Hylocereus megalanthus partial 18S ribosomal RNA". Lineage: Eukaryota; Viridiplantae; Streptophyta; Magnoliopsida; Caryophyllales; Cactaceae. The record is from RNAcentral.